Non-coding RNA from Leptonychotes weddellii (Weddell seal), 1772 nucleotides. Lineage: Eukaryota; Metazoa; Chordata; Mammalia; Carnivora; Phocidae. The record is from RefSeq and is a predicted model, not a curated record.
CCAGGUGUCCUAGGUCUUGAACUUUUAUCAAAAGUUUAUCAUCUUAUUUUACAGUUUUAUAAUUUUAGUUCAUAUUUAAUUACCACCUAAGAUGUAAACUAGUUUUGCUUAAAGGCUAUGGAAUUGAUUAUUGCAGUUAAAUUUUACUUCUCAAACCUGUGUUCACAGAAAGUUCAGCAUCCUCUGUUGAGUCACCUACAAACGCUGCUUUGAUCUCAAAAGAGACAACCCCAGUGGCACAAAAUGCAGCCCAGGUUCUUGAGUCCUUUGAACACUUGCCACCUCUCCCAGAGCCACCACCACUACUACCUGAACUGGUAGACAAAAUCCGAGAUACACUUCCUCCCCAGAAGCCUGAGCUCAAAGUGAAACGGGUGCUGAGACCCAGGGGCAUUGCCCUGACUUGGAACAUCACCAAAAUCAAUCCCAAGUGCGCUCCCGUGGAAAGCUAUCACCUCUUCCUCUGCCAUGAGAACCCUAACAAUAAGUUGAUUUGGAAGAAAAUUGGAGAAAUUAAAGCUUUGCCACUCCCAAUGGCCUGUACUUUAUCUCAAUUUUUAGCUUCCAACAAAUACUAUUUUACUGUCCAAUCAAAAGACAUUUUUGGGCGAUAUGGACCAUUUUGUGACAUAAAAUCUAUCCCUGGGUUUUCUGAAAAUCUUACCUAAAAGAAAAGUCUUGAGUAAUUAUAUAUUGUAUGGCACUGUUUUUUUUCAUAUUUGAGUUGUUGGUUUACAGUGUUCUCUAACACUGUUUGCCAUCUUAAAGGGCCAGUUGAGAUUGUGAACCCUUUGUAUAGGGACAGUCCUCUUCCCUAUGUUCUAAGAGGCCUCUCGUUUCAUGAAUUUGUGAUUUGCGUUCAGUAAGUACUCCAGCGGCUAUGUUCUACAGCCUACACUCUGGCGGACCCGCAUCGCUGAGCAGUGCUGUGCACAGUGCCACUGCUGACUGGGGGCUGCUGCGCACUUCCAUCCAGAGCCCUCGCGUGGAAGCCGCCACUGUUCCCUCUGCUGGCAAUCCACGCUUGGUGGUCAGUGCAGGUCGGUGAAAAAUCCGCUUUUUAGGAGGCAGGCUCAUCCCGGGGGUGCAUCUCACCAAGAUCUUACAUAAAUAAGUGUCUUCUCAUUCUGUUCAAAAUCUAAGGGCUAUUAAUUUGCCCGCUCCCUUAUUUUUCUUUUUUGGCUAUUCAGUUACUUGGGGAAAGAGUCUGGAGGUUUUCCCUAAAUCUGUUUGUAUAUUUAUAUUUAGAUAUGUAAUAAAAUUAGUUAAACAUUGUGUGCUAUGUACACAAAACGUAGAGUCUCUCUUAUAAAAGCAUUAUCCAACCCACUGUUUCUGCUCCAGAAAAUGGAGUUGUCUGCCUUAGGCUUAAGGCUUUCAUUUGUUGAUUCUUUGGUGCUACUCUCUGUUCAUCGCCCAGCUGCCAUGGUUCCUCAGAGGAACCCUGAAGGACCCCGAGAGAGGAGUCCCGGGCACACCCCUGUCUGAGGGGCACUGAAGUGAAGCUGUGGCUAGCACAAGUCGCCCAAGAAGCUCAACGAGCGGGCACACUGGAUAAGCGUGAGUCAGGGCCCAGUGCGAUGCUGAGAAAACAAACGUAACUAUUAGUGUGAAGAACAGUCUGCCCGCCAGAGGCGUUCUUUCCUGGUACGUGAUGAAUGUUCAGUCCUAGACGCUCUGAGAUUUCAAAAAUUGAAUGAGGAAUGGUUUUCUUUGGCAUUUUAUGAAUGUCUUCACAUCUUCGGUCAUAUAUAAAGUUUUAUUUUUCAGUC